CCUACGGGAGGCAGCAGUGGGGAAUAUUGCACAAUGGGCGGAAGCCUGAUGCAGCGACGCCGCGUGAGGGAUGGAGGCCUUCGGGUUGUAAACCUCUUUCAGCAGGGACGAAGCGUGAGUGACGGUACCUGCAGAAGAAGCACCGGCUAACUACGUGCCAGCAGCCGCGGUAAUACGUAGGGUGCGAGCGUUGUCCGGAAUUACUGGGCGUAAAGAGUUCGUAGGCGGUUUGUCGCGUCGUUUGUGAAAACCCGGGGCUCAACUUCGGGCUUGCAGGCGAUACGGGCAGACUUGAGUGUUUCAGGGGAGACUGGAAUUCCUGGUGUAGCGGUGAAAUGCGCAGAUAUCAGGAGGAACACCGGUGGCGAAGGCGGGUCUCUGGGAAACAACUGACGCUGAGGAACGAAAGCGUGGGUAGCAAACAGGAUUAGAUACCCUGGUAGUCCACGCCGUAAACGGUGGCGCUAGGUGUGGGUUCCUUCCACGGAAUCUGUGCCGUAGCUAACGCAUUAAGCGCCCCGCUGGGGAUCGGCCGCAAGGCUAAAACUCAAAGGAUUGACGGCUGNGAGNGCGAGCGACGACGAGGAGAG
RNAcentral lists this ribosomal RNA (590 nucleotides) under uncultured bacterium. Its description in RNAcentral is "bacterial SSU rRNA". It matches the Rfam family "Bacterial small subunit ribosomal RNA", at positions 338 to 944 of the family's 1533-position model. The record is from RNAcentral.